Molecule: long non-coding RNA, 710 nt
Organism: Grus americana (Whooping crane)
Lineage: Eukaryota; Metazoa; Chordata; Aves; Gruiformes; Gruidae
Exons: 2
Source: RefSeq, a predicted model, not a curated record
AAUGAGAACGCGGCCCUGCAGGGCGCAUGCGCCUCCCCUUAACCCUUCGCGUGCCGCGCCCCCCCACCGGCUGCCCCUGUCUGCGGCCUUGGGCCGCCGCGCCCAACCGGGCCCAGCCGGGCAGCGACCUGGCCAGCGACCUGGCCAGCGCCGCGAUCGGGCCUGAGUGCGAGCAGCAGCCAGCCGCCUCGCCCCCGGGAUCGCGGUUUUGUCACAUCCCCCGCAACUGAGUCCGAGUGGGCGCUGUCAGACACGGGCAGCGGGAAGGUUUAUAACAGUGUUUCCACUUGGUCUUCCACAUCCUGGGCCCAGAGCAGAGGAGGGCUGAGUUUCCAGAGCAUUGAAGGACAAAGGUGACGAAAUGAGGCGCUUCUACUUUAGACCUGCGUCAGCCCUCGGACUGCGCGUCUUUACCGUGCCUACGGAGCCAGCCAUUUCUUAUCAGCGAAGCAGGAGGGGACUGGGAGGAACACAUGGCGGCUUCGACGAACUGCUUUUCUGAGAAUCUCGCCUGCCAGCUUGCUGUGCCCAGGCUGAGUAAGGUGCAGCACACACAGACACGUCAUCCUCCAGCUAAGUUGGGCUGUUCUAGGAAGAAAAUCCUGGGUGCAGCAAUAGCCAAGUGCAUGAAGUCCUCACUCUUGUUUGUUUGCUUUGCCACAUGGCAGCCUGUCCUGAUUUUGGCAGGGAUAAAGUUAAUUUCCUUCCUA